CCUACGGGCGGCAGCAGUGAGGAAUAUUGGUCAAUGGACGAGAGUCUGAACCAGCCAAGUAGCGUGAAGGAUGACUGCCCUAUGGGUUGUAAACUUCUUUUAUAUGGGAAUAAAAUGUUCCACGUGUGGGAUUUUGUAUGUACCAUAUGAAUAAGGAUCGGCUAACUCCGUGCCAGCAGCCGCGGUAAUACGGAGGAUCCGAGCGUUAUCCGGAUUUAUUGGGUUUAAAGGGAGCGUAGGUGGAUGGUUAAGUCAGUUGUGAAAGUUUGCGGCUCAACCGUAAAAUUGCAGUUGAAACUGGCAGUCUUGAGUACAGUAGAGGUAGGCGGAAUUCGUGGUGUAGCGGUGAAAUGCUUAGAUAUCACGAAGAACUCCGAUUGCGAAGGCAGUUCACUGGACUGCAACUGACACUGAGGCUCGAAAGUGUGGGUAUCAAACAGGAUUAGAUACCCGAGUAGUC
This 460-nucleotide ribosomal RNA is filed under the name uncultured bacterium. RNAcentral's name for it is "partial 16S ribosomal RNA". It matches the Rfam family "Bacterial small subunit ribosomal RNA", at positions 338 to 795 of the family's 1533-position model. The record is from RNAcentral.